Molecule: long non-coding RNA, 397 nt
Organism: Zingiber officinale
Lineage: Eukaryota; Viridiplantae; Streptophyta; Magnoliopsida; Zingiberales; Zingiberaceae
Exons: 2
Source: RefSeq, a predicted model, not a curated record
AAUUUUCAAACACUGAUAAUGCGAUAUCCGUACCUUCCUGUGUUACUCUCUCCCUCCCUCGUUGCCGGCUUCCGAACACUCGCCGGAUCGACGAUUCCUCGUCUCCAGCCUCCGCUCGAGCUAGCUUUCAGGUGUGGGUAUCGCAUCGGUUUCAUCGCCACUUAACUAUGUCGCUCGGUGUGGGUAUCGCAUCGGCCUCGGAGCUCGAGAGAAGGCGCUCUUGGAAGAAGAUACUGCAUUCAGAUCAUAAAAAAUAAUUUGAAGGUGUCGAGGGUCGGGGAUAUCCUUACAAUUCUUGUGAUUACUGGUAUUUUUGUUAUUGAAUAUUUGUAGUUUAGAACUUUCAGUCACGUGUAUGGCACUCAUUUACUGGCACAACUAUUUGACAAAAAGCUAA